Molecule: ribosomal RNA, 800 nt
Filed under: uncultured bacterium
Lineage: Bacteria
Description: bacterial SSU rRNA
Rfam family: Bacterial small subunit ribosomal RNA
Source: RNAcentral
AGAGUUUGAUCAUGGCUCAGGAUGAACGCUGGCGGCGUGCUUAACACAUGCAAGUCGAACGGAGCAUUUCUGCAGAUUCCUUUCGGGGAUGAUGCAGGAAUUGCUUAGUGGCGGACGGGUGAGUAACGCGUGGGCAACCUGCCCUGUACAGGGGGAUAACAGCCGGAAACGGCUGCCAAUACCGCAUAAGCGCACAGUGCCGCAUGGCACAGUGUGAAAAACUCCGGUGGUACAGGAUGGGCCCGCGUCUGAUUAGCUUGUUGGCGGGGCAGCGGCCCACCAAGGCGACGAUCAGUAGCCGGCCUGAGAGGGCGGCCGGCCACAUUGGGACUGAGACACGGCCCAGACUCCUGCGGGAGGCAGCAGUGGGGAAUAUUGCACAAUGGGGGGAACCCUGAUGCAGCGACGCCGCGUGAGCGAAGAAGUAUUUCGGUAUGUAAAGCUCUAUCAGCAGGGAAGAAAAUGACGGUACCUGACUAAGAAGCUCCGGCUAAAUACGUGCCAGCAGCCGCGGUAAUACGUAUGGAGCAAGCGUUAUCCGGAUUUACUGGGUGUAAAGGGAGCGCAGGCGGUGGUGCAAGUCUGAUGUGAAAACCCGGGGCUCAACCCCGGGAGUGCAUUGGAAACUGCGUCACUGGAGUGUCGGAGGGGUAAGCGGAAUUCCUAGUGUAGCGGUGAAAUGCGUAGAUAUUAGGAGGAACACCAGUGGCGAAGGCGGCUUACUGGACGACAACUGACGCUGAGGCUCGAAAGCGUGGGGAGCAAACAGGAUUAGAUACCCUGGUAGUCCACGCCGUAAA